CGCUGCUCAUUCAACUGGUUAUGAUAGCAAUGUAACAAACAUGCUCAUAACGCCCGGAAUGAUGCCAAAAGAUAAGGUGCCUAUCGUCCAGCAUUAUUGAUAACUGCCCUCGGGCUUUAUCACACAUCGGGCGACACGUUGAGUGAGGCACCGCCUA
RNAcentral lists this small RNA (157 nucleotides) under Erwinia sp. AG740. Its description in RNAcentral is "Glm Y RNA activator of glmS mRNA". It matches the Rfam family "Glm Y RNA activator of glmS mRNA". From Rfam's summary of the family: This family consists of a number of bacterial RNA genes of around 167 bases in length. The function of this RNA is unknown. The record is from RNAcentral. Lineage: Bacteria; Pseudomonadati; Pseudomonadota; Gammaproteobacteria; Enterobacterales; Erwiniaceae.